Molecule: transfer RNA, 73 nt
Filed under: Bos taurus (domestic cattle)
Lineage: Eukaryota; Metazoa; Chordata; Mammalia; Artiodactyla; Bovidae
Also listed under: 1 other name
Rfam family: tRNA
About the family: Transfer RNA (tRNA) molecules are approximately 80 nucleotides in length. Their secondary structure includes four short double-helical elements and three loops (D, anti-codon, and T loops).
Source: Rfam by way of RNAcentral
UCCUUGGUGGCCCAGGGGUUAAGACUCUGCAUUCCCAAAGCAGCGGGUCCAGGUUCGAUCCCUGGUCGGGGAA